This 404-nucleotide ribosomal RNA is filed under the name uncultured bacterium. RNAcentral's name for it is "bacterial SSU rRNA". It matches the Rfam family "Bacterial small subunit ribosomal RNA", at positions 355 to 776 of the family's 1533-position model. The record is from RNAcentral.
UGGGGAAUAUUGCACAAUGGGCGAAAGCCUGAUGCAGCAACGCCGCGUGAGUGAUGAAGGCCUUCGGGUUGUAAAGCUCUGUCUUCUGGGACGAUAAUGACGGUACCAGAGGAGGAAGCCACGGCUAACUACGUGCCAGCAGCCGCGGUAAUACGUAGGUGGCAAGCGUUGUCCGGAUUUACUGGGCGUAAAGGAUGCGUAGGCGGAUGCUUAAGUCAGAUGUGAAAAUCCCGGGCUUAACUUGGGAACUGCAUUUGAAACUGGGCAUCUAGAGUGUGGGAGAGGAAAGUGGAAUUCCUAGUGUAGCGGUGAAAUGCGUAGAGAUUAGGAAGAACACCAGUGGCGAAGGCGACUUUCUGGACCAUAACUGACGCUGAGGCAUGAAAGCGUGGGGAGCAAACAGG